UGGCGGACGGGUGAGUAACGCGUGGGUAACCUGCCUCACACAGGGGGAUAACAGUUGGAAACGACCGCUAAUACCGCAUAAGCCGGAAGGAUCGCAUGAUUCGGCCGGAAAAGAUUUAUCGGUGUGAGAUGGACCCGCGUCUGAUUAGCCAGUUGGCAGGGUAACGGCCUACCAAAGCGACGAUCAGUAGCCGGCCUGAGAGGGUGAACGGCCACAUUGGGACUGAGACACGGCCCAAACUCCUACGGGAGGCAGCAG
Molecule: ribosomal RNA, 258 nt
Filed under: uncultured bacterium
Lineage: Bacteria
Description: partial 16S ribosomal RNA
Rfam family: Bacterial small subunit ribosomal RNA
Source: RNAcentral